GGAGAGGUGGCUGAGUGGUCGAAAGCGCCUCACUGCUAACGAGGUGUACCCUUGUGGUACCGCAGGUUCGAAUCCUGUCCUCUCCGCCA
This 89-nucleotide transfer RNA is filed under the name Candidatus Dojkabacteria bacterium. RNAcentral describes it as "tRNA-Ser". It matches the Rfam family "tRNA". Rfam says of the family: Transfer RNA (tRNA) molecules are approximately 80 nucleotides in length. The record is from RNAcentral.